RNAcentral lists this ribosomal RNA (447 nucleotides) under uncultured bacterium. RNAcentral's name for it is "partial 16S ribosomal RNA". It matches the Rfam family "Bacterial small subunit ribosomal RNA", at positions 29 to 523 of the family's 1533-position model. The record is from RNAcentral.
AACGAACGCUGGCGGCAGGCUUAACACACGCAAGUCGAGCGCCCCGCAAGGGGAGCGGCAGACGGGUGAGUAACGCGUGGGAAUCUACCCAUCCCUACGGAAUAGCUCCGGGAAACUGGAAUUAAUACCGUAUACGCCCUACGGGGGAAAGAUUUAUCGGGGAUGGAUGAGCCCGCGUUGGAUUAGCUAGUUGGUGGGGUAAAGGCCAACCAAGGCGACAAUCCAUAGCUGGUCUGAGAGGAUGAUCAGCCACAUUGGGACUGGGACACUGCCUAAACUCCUACGGGAGGCAGCAGUGGGGAAUAUUGGACAAUGGGGGCAAUCCUGAUCCAGCCAUGCCGCGUGAGUGAUGAAGGCCUUAGGGUUGUAAAGCUCUUUCACCGGAGAAGAUAAUGACGGUAUCCGGAGAAGAAGCCCCGGCUAACUUCGUGCCAGCAGCCGCCGUAA